RNAcentral lists this ribosomal RNA (274 nucleotides) under uncultured bacterium. RNAcentral describes it as "partial 16S ribosomal RNA". It matches the Rfam family "Archaeal small subunit ribosomal RNA", at positions 473 to 747 of the family's 1478-position model. The record is from RNAcentral.
AAACCAGCACCUCAAGUGGUCAGGAUGAUUAUUGGGCCUAAAGCAUCCGUAGCCUGUUUUGUCAGUUUUCGGUUAAAUCCAUACGCUCAACGUAUGGGCUGCCGGAAAUACUGCAAAACUAGGGAGUGGGAGAGGUAGACGGUACUCGGGAGGAAGGGGUAAAAUCCUUUGAUCUCUCGAUGACCACCUGUGGCGAAGGCGGUCUACCAGAACACGUCCGACGGUGAGGGAUGAAAGCUGGGGGAGCAAACCGGAUUAGAAACCCCGGUAGUCC